UACAGAGGUGGCAAGCGUUGUUCGGAAUUACUGGGCGUAAAGGGCGCGUAGGCGGCCUUCUAAGUCGGACGUGAAAUCCCCAGGCUUAACUUGGGAACUGCGUCCGAUACUGGGAGGCUUGAAUGCGGGAGAGGGAUGUGGAAUUCCAGGUGUAGCGGUGAAAUGCGUAGAUAUCUGGAGGAACACCGGUGGCGAAGGCGGCAUCCUGGACCGACAUUGACGCUGAGGCGCGAAAGCCAGGGGAGCAAACGGG
RNAcentral lists this ribosomal RNA (253 nucleotides) under uncultured bacterium. RNAcentral's name for it is "partial 16S ribosomal RNA". It matches the Rfam family "Bacterial small subunit ribosomal RNA", at positions 524 to 776 of the family's 1533-position model. The record is from RNAcentral.